UACGGAGGGUGCAAGCGUUGUCCGGAUUUAUUGGGUUUAAAGGGUGCGUAGGUGGCCUUAUAAGUCAGUGGUGAAAUUCUGUAGCUUAACUAUAGAACUGCCAUUGAUACUGUAGGGCUUGAGUGUCGUUAAGGCAGGCGGAAUUUAUGGUGUAGCGGUGAAAUGCAUAGAUACCAUAAAGAACACCGAUAGCGAAGGCA
This 200-nucleotide ribosomal RNA is filed under the name uncultured bacterium. RNAcentral's name for it is "partial 16S ribosomal RNA". It matches the Rfam family "Bacterial small subunit ribosomal RNA", at positions 524 to 723 of the family's 1533-position model. The record is from RNAcentral.